RNAcentral lists this non-coding RNA (61 nucleotides) under human gut metagenome. The record is from RNAcentral.
ACAACGAACGGCAAGAAGUCAGCAGAGGCCAUAGUACUGGUGUUUUUCCACUGGGAAGGGC